GAUGAACGCUGACAGAAUGCUUAACACAUGCAAGUCUUUGGCGAAGCUGUGCUCGCACAGCCUAGCCAAGGCGGACGGGUGAGUAACGCGUAAGGAACUUGCCCUGCAGUCAGGGAUAACAGACGGAAACGACUGAUAAGACCUGGUAAAGUCAGGCGGACUCAUGUCCAGCCUGAUGAAAAGAGAUGCUGCAGGAGAGCCUUGCGUCCUAUUAGCUUGUUGGUGGGGUAACGGCCCACCAAGGCGAUGAUAGGUAGCCGGCCUGAGAGGGUGGACGGCCACAAGGGGAAUGAGAUACGGCCCUUACUCCUACGGGAGGCAGCAGUGGGGAAUAUUGGACGAUGGGGGCAACCCUGAUCCAGCAAUUCUGUGUGCACGAUGAAGGUUUUCGGAUUGUAAAGUGAUUUCAGCAGGGAAGAAAAAAAUGACGGUACCUGCAGAAGAAGCGACGGCUAAAUACGUG
This 463-nucleotide ribosomal RNA is filed under the name uncultured bacterium. RNAcentral describes it as "partial 16S ribosomal RNA". It matches the Rfam family "Bacterial small subunit ribosomal RNA", at positions 28 to 507 of the family's 1533-position model. The record is from RNAcentral.